CCUAAUACAUGCAAGUCGAACGGGGGUGCUUGCACCUCAGUGGCGAACGGGUGAGUAACACGUAUCUAACCUACCUUAUAGCGGGGGAUAACUUUUGGAAACGAAAGAUAAUACCGCAUGUAGAUCUUAUUAUCGCAUGAGAAAAGAUCAAAAGAACCGUUUGGUUCACUAUGAGAUGGGGAUGCGGCGUAUUAGCUAGUAGGUGAGAUAAUAGCCCACCUAGGCGAUGAUACGUAGCCGAACUGAGAGGUUGAUCGGCCACAUUGGGACUGAGAUACGGCCCAGACUCCUACGGGAGGCAGCAGUAGGGAAUUUUUCACAAUGGACGAAAGUCUGAUGAAGCAAUGCCGCGUGAGUGAUGACGGCCUUCGGGUUGUAAAGCUCUGUUGUAAGGGAAGAAAAAAUAAAGUAGGAAAUGACUUUAUCUUGACAGUACCUUACCAGAAAGCCACGGCUAACUAUGUGCCAGCAGCCGCGGUAAUACAUAGGUGGCAAGCGUUAUCCGGAUUUAUUGGGCGUAUAGGGUGCGUAGGCGGUUUUGCAAGUUUGAGGUUAAAGUCCGGAGCUCAACUCCGGUUCGCCUUGAAAACUGUAUUACUAGAAUGCAAGAGAGGUAAGCGGAAUUCCAUGUGUAGCGGUGAAAUGCGUAGAUAUAUGGAAGAACACCUGUGGCGAAAGCGGCUUACUG
This 688-nucleotide ribosomal RNA is filed under the name Escherichia coli. RNAcentral's name for it is "bacterial SSU rRNA". It matches the Rfam family "Bacterial small subunit ribosomal RNA", at positions 47 to 731 of the family's 1533-position model. The record is from RNAcentral. Lineage: Bacteria; Pseudomonadati; Pseudomonadota; Gammaproteobacteria; Enterobacterales; Enterobacteriaceae.